GGUGGCGACCGGCGCACGGGUGCGUAACGCGUAUGCAACCUACCUUAUACAGGGGGAUAGCCCAGAGAAAUUUGGAUUAAUACCCCAUAGUAUCAUCAGAUGGCAUCUGAAGAUGAUUAAAGAUUUAUUGGUAUAAGAUGGGCAUGCGUUAGAUUAGCUAGUUGGUGAGGUAACGGCUCACCAAGGCGACGAUCUAUAGGGGACCUGAGAGGGUGAUCCCCCACACUGGUACUGAGAUACGGACCAGACUCCUACGGGAGGCAGCAGUAGGGAAUAUUGGUCAAUGGAGGAGACUCUGAACCAGCCAUGCCGCGUGCAGGAAGACGGCCUUCUGGGUUGUAAACUGCUUUUGACAGGGAAGAAAACGUCCAUGCGUGGAUAACUGACGGUACCUGUAGAAUAAGCACCGGCUAACUCCGUGCCAGCAGCCGCGGUAAUACGGAGGGUGCAAGCGUUGUCCGGAUUUAUUGGGUUUAAAGGGUGCGUAGGCUGUAGAUUAAGUCAGAGGUGAAAUCCAACAGCUCAACUGUUGAACUGCCUUUGAUACUGGUUUACUUGAGUAUAGAUGAGGUAGGCGGAAUUUAUGGUGUAGCGGUGAAAUGCAUAGAUACCAUAAGGAACACCGAUAGCGAAGGCAGCUUACUAAACUAUAACUGACGCUGAGGCACGAAAGCAUGGGGAUCGAACAGGAUUAGAUACCCUGGUAGUCCAUGCUGUAAACGAUGAUUACUCGAUGU
This 737-nucleotide ribosomal RNA is filed under the name uncultured bacterium. RNAcentral describes it as "bacterial SSU rRNA". It matches the Rfam family "Bacterial small subunit ribosomal RNA", at positions 87 to 823 of the family's 1533-position model. The record is from RNAcentral.